Molecule: ribosomal RNA, 429 nt
Filed under: Chloroflexota bacterium
Lineage: Bacteria; Bacillati; Chloroflexota
Description: Chloroflexi bacterium partial 16S ribosomal RNA
Rfam family: Bacterial small subunit ribosomal RNA
Source: RNAcentral
UGGGGAAUAUUGCACAAUGGGCGCAAGCCUGAUGCAGCCAUGCCGCGUGUGUGAAGAAGGCCUUCGGGUUGUAAAGCACUUUCAGCGGGGAGGAAGGGAGUAAAGUUAAUACCUUUGCUCAUUGACGUUACCCGCAGAAGACGCACCGGCUAACUCCGUGCCAGCAGCCGCGGUAAUACGGAGGGUGCAAGCGUUAAUCGGAAUUACUGGGCGUAAAGCGCACGCAGGCGGUUUGUUAAGUCAGAUGUGAAAUCCCCGGGCUCAACCUGGGAACUGCAUUCGAAACUGGCAGGCUAGAGUCUUGUAGAGGGGGGUAGAAUUCCAGGUGUAGCGGUGAAAUGCGUAGAGAUCUGGAGGAAUACCGGUGGCGAAGGCGGCCCCCUGGACAAAGACUGACGCUCAGGUGCGAAAGCGUGGGGAGCAAACAGG